GUGAAUAAUUGCCUUAAUCACAAUGAACUAGAGCUAUCUUGAAAGAACUUAUUUGCAGAAACAAGGCAAAGCAUUGACGAAGAUAGUGGUCAAAUGGAAGAACCAACCCUUACAGGAUGCCACAUGGGAGAUCCACUUUCAUUUUAAGAAGUUUCCUUCAUUCGAACCUUGAGGUCAAGGUUUAUUGAAGGGGGGAGUGAUGAUACAACACAAAAAAAAAGCUACCUGUAUUAGUUGUAUUCAUUGUAUAGGAAGAUGAACAUUGCGUUGUAUUCAUAAUAUAGGCUAGCUGUAAGGCAAUAAGUAACUAUCAAAAACUGAAUUUUAAUUAUAGCGACUAUGUGAAAUUAUGUUAUAUUUAUAUUGUAUUUAACUUGUAUUUUAAGAUAUAAUUAGAAAUUUCGGAUUGCAUUUAGCUUUUAUUUGUCUUCAUUCGGGUUGAGUGGGUGUUUUUGGCUAUGUUGUGCAUUUGGACGGAAUAAAGCAAAAAAGAAUAGAAAUUGUGUGCAAGAAGAUGAAAUUCAGUGUUGAGACUAGACUAUGCGAAGAC
RNAcentral lists this long non-coding RNA (550 nucleotides) under Lupinus angustifolius (narrow-leaved blue lupine). RNAcentral describes it as "long non-coding RNA (LANG_LNC000277)". Lineage: Eukaryota; Viridiplantae; Streptophyta; Magnoliopsida; Fabales; Fabaceae. The record is from RNAcentral.